GCUAAAGUAGCAAAGUAAAAAUGCAGUAGAUUUAGGAUUUAUAAUCGAGGGUUUAAUUCCCUCUUUUAGUU
RNAcentral lists this transfer RNA (71 nucleotides) under Cheiraster sp. SS-2022. RNAcentral describes it as "tRNA-Leu". It matches the Rfam family "tRNA". From Rfam's summary of the family: Transfer RNA (tRNA) molecules are approximately 80 nucleotides in length. The record is from RNAcentral. Lineage: Eukaryota; Metazoa; Echinodermata; Asteroidea; Notomyotida; Benthopectinidae.